RNA transcript from Oxyura jamaicensis (ruddy duck), 6308 nucleotides. It is a transcript of the gene named APC membrane recruitment protein 3, with no coding region annotated. Lineage: Eukaryota; Metazoa; Chordata; Aves; Anseriformes; Anatidae. The transcript has 4 exons. The record is from RefSeq and is a predicted model, not a curated record.
AAGGAGGAGGAAAAGACGGGGGGUGGAGAGUAACACUGGAGAGCAGCAGUGAUCCAGCCCCUCUGAAUCUGAAAAGCAUCACCAGAGCCUUUGGAUAAAGACCAGCUGCAUAGCAAAGCUAGGAGGGAGAGGAUUUCUGCUCAGUGAUAAAACAUGAAACAGAUGUGAGCAAACAGCAUGGAGCUCAAGAGAGGAAAAACCUUCAUCAAAUCCAGUGUGCAACACGAAAAAGUGCUACCAGAGCUCACAGCUUCUACAAACAAAAAUGAUAUAGGGAAAGACAAAAAGGCAGCCCUGGAGGGGAACCGAAGCAUAGCUGAAGUCCAGCUGGCAUACCUGGCCACACACAAGAACUACAGAUUUUCCACCAGAGCAGCAAGGAAUGGUGCUGGUGACAACAGCCUGGAAAAAUCCUCUGGGUCUUCCUACAAACUUGUAAGGAAGAGUAAAACCCAUGACUGUGUUAGUGAAGCAGAUAAAACAGAGCACUGCAGCCCCAGCAACAGGGCUUGUGAGGAAGGUUUUUCUGGAAAGGGGAAGGGGCGACUCGUCAAUAGCAUCAGCUUUUCGGGGAUGUCCAGUUCCAGCAGUAAGAAAGAGUGUGUAGUAAGCCCGAGCCAGUCUGCCUGCAGCAGUCAGAUGAUUGAUUACAGGAACUUUGUGCCACAGAUGCCUUUUGUACCAGCUGUUGCAAAAACCAUCCCCAGGAAGAGGAUAUCCCUCAAGAGAUCAAAGAAAGGGCUCAGAGAUAUAUUUCAUAUUAAAAAAAAUAAACCGGAGAGCCUCGCAUUCCUGGUUGAGAAGGACAAGAACCUGUCCUCUCCAGGCUGCAAGAGUGAGUUGCCUGGGCGCCUCGCAAAGUACCUUUUCAAAACUGGAGAACCAUUUGCAGCCGACUGCUUGUCACAAGACUGCUCAGACAGUGAACUGCAGUCUGACUCUUCCUAUGACUGCUGCAACCCUCUGUGCGAAGAUGUUGCAUCACUGAAGAGCUUUGACUCCCUUACUGGCUGUGGGGAAAUCUUUGCUGACGAGAGCUCUGCUCACCUGGAGCUGGAGAACAGCAAAGAAGUUCUGGUGAGACGAAGCAAGCACAAAGAGAGCCCUGCCAUGGGCUCCUUCCAAGGGGGUGUGGAGCAGCUGGCCUCUCCAGGGCAGAAUGAGGCCGUUGAAUUUGGGAAGUUUUGGGACAACAUUAACAAAUCAGUGAGGCUACAUCAGAGCAUGCUGUUUGAUAAGAAGUUACUGACGAUGCCUGGUUCUGACAUGGGAAAGGCUGGAAGCCAAGCUGCUGCAUCUGCGACAGACCCCCAGGUGUCACCUGGUAAAGAUGGUGACAAUUCCAAAGAGAACCCCACAGAAACAGAAACACCAAAAAGUGACAACCAGGAAUCCAUAUCCACGAGUGAUGAAGGCUACUACGAUUCAUUCUCUCCUGGACAAGACGAUGAAGUGAAGGAAGCUCAGACCCCUGGGGUCCCAGGCAGAUUUCCAAGAGACAGCUACAGUGGAGAUGCCCUUUAUGAGCUCUUCUAUGACUCAAGUGAAGUCAAAAUAAACCCCGUCCUAGAUGAUGACUUGUGUACAUCUGAAAGCAUUUCCGAACAAGCCAUUGAAAUCCCUUUGUCCAUCUACAGUUUUCAUGUUGGAGCUGAGGAAAACACGGCUUCCCAACCAGCUGUAGACAUCAUCAGCCAGGGUUUUUUCCACAGCACAUGGAAAGGCAAAGAAUGUUUGCUAAAGCUCUGUGAUACUGAGCUUUCACUAACCAUGGGGAUAAUAAACUGGCUGCGAAAACACUCAGGACUUGUUUCCUCCCCAGACUCUCUUCAGAGCCCUCAGCCACAGCCAGAAAAGGGUAAUCAUUCACCAAUCCCUCCCAGCCCCGGUCCUGAGCACAAUGUGAGCACAGCACAGCAGGAGAAACAAAGCAAGGAAGAUACAUUUAACCGAAGGGUGUCUUUGGACAAAAGCAAAGAUGCAACCCAGGCGUCUUCAGUAAAUGUUGCUGAAAGAGACUCUUGCACUAAUACAUCUAAUUUGGAUUCCCAAGGAAGGGAAGGUAGUCACCAUGAGCAUUCAUCUACAGUGCCUGGGACUGCGGAAACCACAGGUGCAUCAAAUUAUGCACCACAAUCACAGGGAAACGGAGACAAUCUGCAGACAUCUUCAACUGAGAAGGCAACAAUUUCAAAAGGAUACGAGACAUCUGAAGAUAGAAUUCUGCUGGCAGAGAACUUGAACAGACAGAGUGGCUCACAGAGCUCUGAAAGCCCUUUGUUAAAUGAUAAUCAUGAAGUAGAGUCAUGUUACUCCUAUAAGACUGCUGCGACCUCACCUCUGGAUGCCCUUGAGAGGGAGGACGGAAAUAAACCAAUGUAUCACUCUCUGUCUGUUUGCUGUGACAAACCACCGCAGCCUCUUACUCUCAGAGGCUUCCAGAGCUACAUCAGCCCCACGCCAAGGGAGAACAGUACUAACAUAGUGCAGCUCUUAGAGCGAUGCGUGACGCAAGUGGCAUCACUAAAACUCAGCUAUGAAAACAAGCACCUGGAAGACAAAUAUAUUGGGAAUGAAAUGAACAAUAUCAUUUGUAAGAUGUCUCAGUACAAAAACAAGCUACUGAAUGAAUGCAAUUGUGUUGCUCAAACACCAGAAUACUCCAGUAUUGCUUGCACAAACCAAUACAAUUAUGAAACAAGUUUCCAAGCCAGCAGUCUAUAUCAUUUGAAACAAAAUGGGGAGCAAAUUUGCUCCGAGGACCAAAAAGGUAGAGCAAAAAUCCUAGAUGAAGUAGCUAGAGACAAGAUCGGUUUUGAAUAUGCCCAACUAAAUAAUCAAGCGUUCUCCUAUUUACAAGACUUCACGUUUGCAAGUGAUUCUGCUCCCGCUACAAUGCUCAGCAGGCCAACAUUUUUACCUCUCUUUAACUCCGUCUGCUUAGACAUACCUGCUACUGUUUCAUCAGAUCCAUACAGCACUGCCAUCCCUCCAGCUGAGUCACUGCAGCCCAAGGAGGCCGAGCACGGCAGCCCAGGGCCCUGGCAUUAUGCAGAGUCCCCUUGCAGAUGCCUGUUGGGGGUGACAGCUCUGUCCCCUCACCCAGAGGCAGCAGCCCCGGACACAGCAGUGGUGGGGAGGAACCAGCAAUAACACACCUGUGUAGAGAAGGAUGUGUCUGCAGAAAAUAAAAGAUUCAAAGGAGGAAUACAGUCAUGAAGGUGCAACGCUGAAGAAUCCACUUCUAGACCUGGAUGCUGCCCCCCUUCCACACAUUAUAUAGCAUGACAGGCUACCACAACACUACACUGAUGUCAGAUUCAGCAAGGAUUUCUCUCCAGAGAUCCCACUUGAGGUCUCGCAGAAGCAGGUCAUGCCAGCCUGUCUAACUAACCAAUACAGUCAGGAGUUCCUGACAACUUCACACACUUGACAACAGGACAACAAAAGAUUUGCCUAACGUUAUUUCUCCCUGAAAUUGGCAUCUUCUUUUCUCUGCUCUUCGCCUUGCAAGGCCUGAUCAUCUGUCAGAUCUUCCCAAUCCCUGCUGCUGCUCACAUUAAAAGUACUCACAUCUCCUCUCUUGUGAUCUCUGCCCUUACUGCAGAGGGAAGUGAGUGCUUCUGCUCUCCCCACUUUAAAGCUGGGCUGUGUGGCACAUGCUUGGCCACUGAUCCCUUGCGAUAUUACAAGUGCAGACAGGAAAGAUUUGCUUUUCCUCCUCCUUUGAGUUUAUGGGCACAUCUAGCUGUAGCAGAAAGCAUAUUGCUCUCUGAAAUUCAAAGGUCCUGGGUUCGGUCCAUGCUACCAAAUGAACAACUGUGGAACUGCAUUAUAUACCAUGGAAAAAAAUGCCUGUGGGUAGUCUAUUCUAAUUCUCCCCACGGAGCUGCAUGAAUGCCAGUGCAAUGCUGGGGGAAAGCACAAAAUCUUCAUGGCUUAAUCAUUCUCCAGUUGAAGAACAAACAGAAAAUCCACUUCCUUGAGAUCAUACUGAGUCAUGUGUUUACUGGGAUUGGCUGCAAACUACUUUAAAGUAAGAUGAACAACAUCUUAGGAAAGAAAGAGAUGCUGGUGAAAUGAACCCAUAAAUGGGAAUAUUCAAUUUCAUAUAUGGGGUGUAGCUGUGAGAACAAGUUCCCUCAGGCUGCUUAAGAGCCUAACAUAGUACUAUGCCCCUUCAGAAUUAAAAGUCUUUAAAAAUACUUAAAACUUUAAAAUAGAUAAUACAGAAAAUUAAGAUAAAUGAUGAAAAAGUUGCGCAGACUUGUAACUACAGAAUUUCAGAUAAGUUUCUAUGAAACUGCUCAUCUGUUUCCUGUCCUAUUUCUACAUGAAUGGAAGUAGUGAAUAGUUAAAUGCACAAGUAAGAUCAGAAUAAUAAUUUAAAAAUGUGUUAAGGACACAUGCUAAGGACAACCUUGAAAGAGGAAAAGAAGGUUUUUCCCUCUCAAGGAUCACUAAAAUGUAGAAGAAUAUUCUGAAAAAUAAUAUUUUUAAAAAGCUUUUUUCUGUUAAGGACAUCAAGCUUUGACAUUCCUUCUUUUAAUGCAGCAUUCAUUUGAGUUUCAGAAAUGUUUUGGGAACUUCCAGCACAUAGACCUAAAUUUAAGAUAUGAAGUAUCAGGUACUUGAGUACCCUUAAUAAAACACUACCUACUGCUGUGAAGGGACAGAACACUUACCACUUUAGAGAACCAGAGUGUAAAUAAUCUUAUACAGGUAAAAGCAUCCAGAAAAAAAUGUAUGAAGAGAUCUCAAACAUACAUGCACUGUCGGGUAAGUAAGCAUGCCUUCCAAAAGCAGACUACUAAAAUGAAGUUUGGGUAUUCCAGUCAAAGAUGAGUGAUGUGAAAUUAGCAAAAAGUUCAAGAUUCAUUUUUUUGCUUCACUUAAAAUGUUUCAUUCUCCUAAGUAAGUUAGAGUGUUUGGUGGAAGAUACUGUAAAUGCUUACACUGUGCAGGAAAGGCACAAGAAGCACAAUGAUGUUGUAGGUCAACUAAGGGAUAUUCAGGAGGGAACAAUGUUGCAUAUUCUGACUUUUACUCAAUUAAAAGAAUAUAGACCUGUGGUACUCUUGGAGGCUGAAAUACGCAUGCAUACUAUAUAUUUAUACACACCGAAAAAGAGGGUUCAUGCAAACUUGUUGAGUUCAAGAAUAGGGAAGAAAUCGGAAGCAUGUACCAUUUAAAAAAAUCCAACUAGCAGAUUAAUAAAAUUUACCAUGCACGUAUUAUUUAUUAUGUAAUUAUGAUACUUACAUGCAUUUAUAUGUUAUGUUUAACAUAUUUUGUUAACUAUUUUUUAAAUAUGUCAUAUUUGAUAUAUAUAUAUAUAUGCUUCAUGUAUUAUAUUUUAGUUACCAUAUUCUACAUUAUGUAUUAAAGGUAUUAAAGUCACUUGAAUUCUAUGUUACAGUUGGUCUCCAAUCAACAUAAUUGCAUUGUUUUACAUGACAUUAAUGAAUCGCUAUUUUCCAGCACUGAAAAUUCACCACUUGGAAAAAAAUCUACUGCUUAUGAAGAGUUUAUACCUAUAGCCUAUAACAGAGGCUUAUAGAGGCACUAGCCCUCUAAUUCUUCUCCUCUGUACAGAAUAACCUGGCAUAAUAUGCCAGGUCAAUCACCAUUGGUAGAAUCAGAACACUAAGAUCAGAAUACUAUGUACUCUAAUCUUAUCCUGAGGAAGUCAUUUGGAAAGUGGAUUAGUUUCUAAACUUAGCCAGCUACUGCUUUAAGAAUAGUCAUGUUUAAGAGGAAUGGAAGUUCUGGCCUCUCUGAGAAAUUACUCCCGAUCUAACUGUUUAACAAAGAAUCACCCUUACCUUCUAUGACAUGCUUUACAAAUUACUUGGUUGACUCCUGGAAGGAACUACUUAUUUCCAGGUGCAUCUUUAAGUGUCCCAUCUUCAUAAGCCUUAACUGUCUGAAGAAAUAAGGAAAAUAAAUUAAGGGUUAAAUCUGUCACAAGAGAGCACAGACUGGAGUUUAAAACUUAACACAAACUAAGUAUAUAUGCAUGUUAUAUUUACUUGUCUUUCUAACAGUGGGAAACCAUUUAAGUAUAUUUACAAACAUUUCAGAAUUUCAGCAAGUUGAAGAUGCCUCAUUUUGUUAAGCUGAAAAACUGCUUUUAUCAGUUUAAUUUCUGUAGUAGUAUUUUAAAUACAUCUGUACAACUCUCAUAGUUUCUAAAUACUUCAGAACAAUACAAUGAGACCUAGCAGAUACAUUCCUUUAAUUGUUACUGCAAACAGACUAUUUAAAAUAAAAUUGUUACACUACUAUUAAACUAUUGUCAAUCUAUA